CCUACGGGAGACAGCAGUAGGGAAUCUUUCACAAUGGGCGAAAGCCUGAUGGAGCAACGCCGCGUGCAGGAUGAAGGCCUUCGGGUUGUAAACUGCUUUUAUAAGCGAGAAAUAUGAUGGUAACUUAUGAAUAAGGAUUGGCUAACUACGUGCCAGCAGCCGCGGUCAUACGUAGGAUCCGAGCAUUAUCCGGAGUGACUGGGUGUAAAGAGUUGCGUAGGUGGCAUAAUAAGUAGCUAGUGAAAUCUGGUGGCUCAACCAUUCAGACUAUUAGCUAAACUGUUAAGCUCGAGACCGUUAGGGGUAACUGGAAUUUCUAGUGUAGGAGUGAAAUCCGUAGAUAUUAGAAGGAACACCAAUAGCGUAGGCAGGUUGCUGGGACGGUUCUGACACUAAGGCACGAAAGCGUAGGGAGCAAACGGGAUUAGAUACCCCAGUAGUC
Molecule: ribosomal RNA, 442 nt
Filed under: uncultured bacterium
Lineage: Bacteria
Description: partial 16S ribosomal RNA
Rfam family: Bacterial small subunit ribosomal RNA
Source: RNAcentral